Drosophila sulfurigaster albostrigata is the source of this 2191-nucleotide long non-coding RNA. RefSeq lists it as uncharacterized. The record is from RefSeq and is a predicted model, not a curated record. The transcript has 3 exons. Lineage: Eukaryota; Metazoa; Arthropoda; Insecta; Diptera; Drosophilidae.
UCCCUCCAUCGUUCAUUUCACGCAAUUGGAAACGAAGGCAUGCAAAUUGUCAUAUGCCAUUCCAAUGACAUUUGAGGGCGCUCUAUUUGGAGUAAUUGAGAUCGGCGCAGUGCAUGACGCACCCGCAUACGUUUGGCAUGAGCGGGAGUGAGAGAGUGUUUGAGCUGGAACUGGAACUAGAGCUGAAGUGCGACAGCGACAGCGACGCCGACAGCAACAGCAACGGCGGCUUAGCGAGAUGGCGUUAGCUGAUUGAGAACAAUAGCGGCGCACCGGAAAUUAUUGCAUCUGUUGUUUUGUGCUGUUGUCGUUGUCGCUGCACAUCUCCAACUCGCCCCUGCUUCUCCUUUCCAAUUGCUGGCUACGACUACUGUCUUCUCUAUUGCACACAUGUUCGUCUCUGCCAAUCGCAUGAAUGUGUCUGGGUUUGUGUGCGAGUGUGUGUGUGUGUUUGUAUAUUACUCGCAUUUUGUUUUGCUUUUGCGCUUUGUAUUUGCUUUGCAGCUCUGCUGGCUACACUUGAAUUGUUUUCAGUCUGCCUUUUGUGCGCAGCCUUUCUGCUGAAAUUUUCAAUUGCUGGCAAAAAAAAGACGAAAUAAAAAAAAGGAAACAAGGAAAAAGAAAUAAACAGAACCCAGAGCGCACUUGAGCGACAAACAGCGACGCCUGCGCAGAGGCGUUGACAGCAGCGACGGCGACGGCAACGGCGACGGUGGCGACGACGACUUCGACAGCAACACACAAGUGCAAAGUGCAACUGUCGCCCUUUAACGUACACACAACAGAGAUAACAGUCUGCUAUGCUAAUUCCAUUGCGAAUACAGCGGAUGCUGUGAGCAGCUGUUACCGGGCUGUUGUCUGUUGUUGUUAACAGCAACAGCAACAGCGGAAGCCAUUGCGCAUGCCUUGCGAAUGCUGUGCGCCUGUUACACGCACUAGCGCAGUGUGUGUGUGCGUUGCGUGUGUGUGCGCAUGUGUGUGUGUGCGUGUGUUUGCUUGUGGCGACUACAGGUGCAUCUCUGAGCAACCGAGUGAUAAGCUCUGCAACAGAGCGUUGCGCUUGUGCAACACAACAAUGCAACUGCUCAGUUUCGGUUUCAGUUUUCAUUUCAGUUGCAGACGCGAACUUCGAACUUCAAAUAUGUGCUCAGAGCAUUGUGUGGCACACACAACAACAAAAAAAAAAAAAAGGUAAGAAGUCGAGAUACAAAACUUGCAGCAAAUAUUUCAACUCAACGCAACUUCAUUCAUGUAAUUUCGCUUUUUAUUUGUCUGCCACUGCAUGUGAAUCUUGGAACAUUUCUUCCGACUCGUUUUUUUCGUUUUUGUUGUUGUUGGAAAAUUAAAGAUAAUUAUGAUUGCCAACACAGAAGAAGAAGAAGGAAGACAAAAAGCGAACCAAAGAGACGUACUUGAAGUUGCCACACAGAGCAUAAUCAUUCAUGCAGCAGGCUGUUGUAUUUGUAUCUGUGAGAUACGCAGCUCACAAAUGAUUAUGAUAAAAAGCAGCAGCCGCAAAAAAAUAAAAAGUAAAAAAAAAAACAACUACAAGAACAUCAUCAGAACAGGUAAGAACAUCGCAUUGCCAUGUUUUUAUGUUUUGUGUUUUUAUUCUUUGUUGAUAUCCCACCAUAAGCAUAUAAAUUGAAUCGAAAAUAAACGCACAAAGAAGCGAGAGACAGGAGACUCUCCACAUGAACCGAUGAACUGGCGCUGAUAACAGCAAAAAAAAAUAAAACCAAAGCGAGGCUAAGGCCAAGACAACACACACACAGACGAACACACUCCAAUUUAGCCGGUCAAAGAAAUUAAGAAAAAUCAAACAGGUUUCUGCCACACAGCCACAAAUUUUCCCGAAGCUGCUUCAAAGACAGCCGCAUUACCACAAAGAACACAAGCAACAUUGGGGCACACACACACACACACACACACACAGACAACAGACAACACACCACAGAAAUGAAAACCUCGAAGGAAGCACGAGAAGCAGUGAAGAGCUGAGAUUUUUCCCAGCGAAGCAACCAACAACUAUGUAUGUAUAUAAUGACAACCCCCAGUACCACAAAGUGCAGCCCCUCUAGUCAACCCCUGGCAAUAACCCAACAAAAACCGCAGAUAAAUCAAAGUGCCAACAAAAUUACAACGCAAGCGCUUUACAAGCGAGCGUGCUCGGCAAUGAAAUACUCGCUAG